CAAUGUUCCCACAGUGCAUU
This 20-nucleotide microRNA is filed under the name Ornithorhynchus anatinus (platypus). Its description in RNAcentral is "oan-miR-33b-3p". Its record names the gene oan-miR-33b-3p. Lineage: Eukaryota; Metazoa; Chordata; Mammalia; Monotremata; Ornithorhynchidae. The record is from miRBase by way of RNAcentral.